This 508-nucleotide unclassified non-coding RNA is filed under the name Hevea brasiliensis (rubber tree). Lineage: Eukaryota; Viridiplantae; Streptophyta; Magnoliopsida; Malpighiales; Euphorbiaceae. The record is from RNAcentral.
AAAAAAAAAGCUGUGAAUAUAAACUCGCUGCUUCUAGGUCUCGUCAUCACUAAAAAUGUAAAAGACACCAAUUCAAUUAUUCUCUUUGAAGCAUCCAUAUAACAAAACAUUUGUUGUCUAUCAACUCAUAUCUAGCAAAAGCAUGUAUAUGAUCCCAACCAUUGUUACAUCUACCAAUCAGAAAGAUCCAAGAAGUUAAGAGAACUCCAAGAAGUUAAGAGAACUCAAGUAUUGGCAGGAAAGGAAUCAGAGUCAUCCAAGUUAGUUGAAAUUAGUUAGCCGAGCUGGCAACAGUUGAUUGGUGAACAAAAAGUUAGUUUUUACUGUCGAAAUUGCAAACUUAAUUUAUUAGCUGGUUAGCUGAAGCAAUUAUUAGCAAUCAUAUAAGGAUUUUGGGGAUGUAAUUCUCAACCAUUCAAGAAUUCAACGUUUCUUUGUGAACUUUCUAUGCUCUUCUCCCCUUUUCCAUUAUUUUCCCUCCCUUUCUCUUUCCUUCACUCUUUCUUAU